GACGAACGCUGGCGGCGUGCUUAACACAUGCAAGUCGAGCGGUAAGGCCCUUUCGGGGGUACACGAGCGGCGAACGGGUGAGUAACACGUGGGUGACCUGCCCUCAGCUCUGGGAUAAGCCUGGGAAACUGGGUCUAAUACCGGAUAUGACUCCAUGACGCAUGUUGUGGGGUGGAAAGCCUUGUGCGGCUGAGGAUGGGCCCGCGGCCUAUCAGCUUGUUGGUGGGGNGAUGGCCUACCAAGGCGACGACGGGUAGCCGGCCUGAGAGGGCGACCGGCCACACUGGGACUGAGACACGGCCCAGACUCCUACGGGAGGCAGCAGUGGGGAAUCUUGCGCAAUGGGACGAAAGCCUGACGCAGCGACGCCGCGUGA
Molecule: ribosomal RNA, 376 nt
Filed under: uncultured bacterium
Lineage: Bacteria
Description: bacterial SSU rRNA
Rfam family: Bacterial small subunit ribosomal RNA
Source: RNAcentral